AAACGUAUUGACUAAUAUAAGGUCAUAUGUUAUCGCAAAAUCUAAUAUAGUUUUUCCUUCCUCAUUUCUCGUUUCAAACCUAUAACCCCCAUGUACUCUCUCAUAUUCCUCAUUUUUCACUCCAACAUGCCCAUUUAAAUCACCUCAUAGUAAAAUCAUUUCAUUUGGCGGAAUAUUUUGUAAUAUUUUAUCUAAGUUGUCCAAAAAAUUAAUUUGGUAGCUUCAUCUAAUCCUACUUGCGCUGUAUAUAUGCUAAUUAUGUUCAUAGUUUCUUUUGUCACUAUUGUCUUAAGGGCUAUAAUUUUAUCCCCGUUUUUAACUACUCUUAAAAUUUCAUCCUUUAACGAAUUAUCUAUAACAAUAUCCACUCUAUUUAUUACUUUACUCUUUCUUGCGAACCAUAACUUAAAACCCGAGUUCUCUAUCAAUUUUGCUAUCUCGCCUACCUAUUUUGUCUUUUGUACACACAAAAUACUAAUUCUUCUCCUAAUUAUCGUAUAUACUACUUCCAUUGAUUUAUCGGUGAGUGUUCCUAUGUUCCAUGUUCUAAAUCAUAGAUUAUUAGUUUUUCUAUCAUAUUUGUUCUUAUCCAAUCUAUGAUGCGAGAACUUUUGCCUAUUUAACACUACACCUAAAUUCUCAUGGAGAUAUAGGGUCCUUGUCGAUAUGUUACAAUUGGACUUUGCAACGCGAACUCUUGCAUAUUUAGCACUACACUCGAGUUCUGGAGAUGUAGUGGUCCUUGUCGAGACGUUACAGUCAGACCCUGCAAUGUGUUUCUUCCGGGGAACAACCUAACAUUAAUACAAUAGUUUAAUGGAUCCAUUCAUUGAAUAUUUAUCAUAAUUUUAAGGCUAGCCGGCAACCUAACGCAAUGCAAUCUUCCUCCCUUAUCCGGGCUUGGGACCAGCCAUAACUAGGUCAUCUACUACUUCUAAGUCAAUGUCUCUUAGUUAGGAGUUUAAUUCUAAAUGCAUAUCCAAGACAUUGGAUCAGUGGAUAAUCUUAGACGUGGAUUCUCAUUCGUAGAUGUUUAAUGGGGCUAAGAUAAGGUGAUUGUGGUAGCUAGCUGUGUUGUUAAAGGCGCGCCUGAGAGGCGUCAGGUGCACAAGGCGUGGGGAAAAAUGCCUGUUCCCACGUAAGGCGUCAGGCGCGCGCCUAGGGCGCGACGCCUUGCACCUCAACUGAGGUGCGAUCGAGGCGCGAUCAUGAACAUUUUUGGAUUUUUACCCCAAAAAACAUUUCAAACCAAUUUGGUUUGGAAUUAGGGCACGAAGAAGAAAAGGAUUAAAAGGAAGAAGAAAAGAAUGCAAGAAGGAGAAAUCUGAACCCGAGCCUACUCGGAGCAUUUCUGUCCGUUGCCGCCGUCGUUGCCUGAGUCGCGCCGUCGCCCAUGCAUGUUUUUUUUCCUUACUUUUUUUUGUUUUUCUGUUCUUCUUCUUCUUCUUCUCCUCCUCUUCUUUUUCUUCUUCCUUUGUUAUCUUCUUCUUCUCUGCUUCUGUUAUUUCGUUUCUUCUUCUUUUUUUCUUUUUCGUUUUCACUUUUAAGUUUUUCUUCAAUCUUCUUUUCUUCUUCUUUUUCUUUUUUUUUUCCUUGUGUUGAGAUGCUGGUUCGUGUUUGUUGCUCUUCUACUUUUUCUAUUUUUUCUUUGUGUUGAGAUGCUGCCCGGUUUUGUUUUUUUACUAUUUUUCCAUUUUUGCAGGUUGAUUGGUGUCCGAUUUUUCUUUUUUUGGGUCUUAUUUUUCCAUUUUUGCUGGUUCGUGUUCUGUUGACUGCUGCUAUCCGAUUUUUCAUUUGUUUUCCUUUUCUUCUUCUUUUUUUGUCCUUUUUUUUAUUGCUGGUACAGUGCUUUUCUAUUGCUGGUAUAGUGUUGAUUUUAUUUUAUUUUUGAUUUUUUAGGCUAUUUUCUUAUUCAAUUAUCAUGGAAGGUAGUAGUGAUACUCUAACAUAUAUAUCAAAAGAUCCGGCAUGAAGUUAUUUUCAAAGAGCUAAUCCGGAUAACAAAAAUGAUUUGAUUUAUAAUUUUUGUCAAAAAGUUACAAAAGGGGUAUCUAUCGUGCAAAACAACAUCUUGUUGGGGGGUUUCGAAAUACGACUUGCAAAAGAUGUUCGCCUCAUGUAUGUGAAGAAAUAAAAAAUUUCAUGGAGAAAAAGACGGACAAAAGUAAUCUUUCUAAACUUGCAACAUUGGACUUUGAGGAUGUAGACCCUCUUGGUGAUGAUAUUGAUAUGGAUGAUAUUGGAGCUAAAGCUGUGUCGCCUAUAAGUACAAGUACAAGUUUUAGAUCAGUGACUAUGCAAAAAAAGGCCAAGACAAAUAGGUCUAAUGGAUACAUAUUUUGCUCCUAAUUUGUAAAAAAAAUGUUGAAAGUAGAAAGGGAAAAGAGAGACAAACUACGAUAAAUGAGGCAUACAAGAAAGAAUUGAGGGAAAAAGUUUGUAUGACUAUAAAUGAGUGGAUGUAUGAUGCGACAAUUCCUUUUAAUGCCGUUAACUAUUCAAGCUUCAAAAAGAUGUUGGACUUGAUUGGCCUAUGGUGUAGGUCUAAAAGGACUUAGUUAUCAUGAAGUGCGGGUUCCUUUUCUAAAAAAGAAUGUUGAUAGUGUGACAAAUGAUUACAUUACGUCAUGUGAAACAGAAUGAGCCAAGUAUGGUUGUAGUUUGAUAGCAGAUGAGUGGACAAACAAAAGGCAAAGGACAUUGAUUAAUUUUUUAGUGAAUUUUCCUAAAAGUUCAGUUUUCAUCGAAUUGGUUAAUGCUUCUGAUUAUGCAAAGACCGGAGAGAAAUAUUUCAAUUGCUUGAUCGAUAUGUGGAGCAUGUAGGAGAAGCAAAUGUUGUUCAAGUUGUUACGGAUAGUGCAAGUAACAAUGUGCUUGUUGGCAAUAAUCUAUUUAAUUCUUUCUUAUCAAUAUGUUUUUUCUUAUAUAUAUUAAACUUAUCUUGUUUUCUAACUUCUUUUGUAGGAAAAUUAUUAGAAGCAAAAAGAUCACACUUGUUUUAGAGUCCUUGUGCUGCGCACUGCAUUGACUUGAUCUUAGAAGAUAUUGGGAAAUUGAUUGAUUUUAAAGCAACAUUGAAGAAGACAAUGAGUGUGAAUGCUUACAUUUAUGUUUGCCCAGGUAUGGUAAAUAUGUUGAGGCAAUUCACAAGACAAAAAGAGCUUUGUCGGGUGGGUGUUACAAGAUUUGCUAUAGCUUUUCUCACUCUUGAAAGGAUACACCUACAGAAACAAAAUUUAAGAAAGAUGUUCAUUUCAAAGGAUUGGAUAGAGAGUAAAUGGGCAAAAGAAGCCGUGGGGAAGAAGGCAGCUAAAAUCAUCAUGACACUUAGAUUUUGGAGCAAUGUUGUGCAUUUUUUAAAGAUAUGUGGCCCUUUAGUCCGUGUUUUAAGACUGAUUGAUGACGAAAGAAAACCUGCAAUGGGCUAUAUUUAUGAGGCUAUGGAUAGGGCAAAAGAAACAAUUAUGAAGACCUUUAAUGAGAAAGAAGAGAAAUACAAAGAAGUAAUUGAGAUCAUUGAUAAGAGAUGAGAAUGCCAAAUUCAUCGGUCUUUGCAUGCUGCAGGACAUUAUUUGAAUUUAGAAUAUUUUUAUUCAUACACAGAUUCAAAUAUCUGUAGAGAAGUGGUGAAAGAUUUGUUUGAAAUUAUGGAGAGAUUGGUUUCAAGCGCUGCUGAGCAAGAUAAAAUCACUACCUAGCUCUCUAUAUAUCGAAAGGUAGAAGGGCUAUUUGGGAGGAAUGUGACAAUUAGACAUAGUAUUAUCUCCAGUAGCAUGGUAGGAAUGCUAUAGAGCAAAUACCCAGAAUUGUAAAAGUUUGCUAUUAAAGUGCUUAGCCUCACUUGUAGUGCUUUCGGCUGUGAGCGCAAUUGGAGUGUAUUUGAGUAGGUAUGUAAUAAAUAUAAAUGUAUAAUACUAUUAGUAUUCUAUUUUUAUUAGUAGAAAAUAUUCUUUGCUAUUUUAUUAUACUUAUUCUGAUUUUUGACAUUUUGUAGAAUCACAGCAAAAAAAGGAAUAGGCUAGCUCAGCAACGCUUAAAUGAUUUGGUAUUUGUGAAAUACAACCGUAUCUUAAAACUUUGGUAUAAUGCACGUGAUAAGAUUAACCCCAUUUGUUUGACAGAUAUUGAUGACAGUAAUGAAUGGUUGAUGGAUAGAAUGGAUGGAGAAACUGAUAAUGAAGAAGAUGAGUUGGUUUUUGAAGGUGAUGACUUGACAUGGGAUGCCAUUGCUAGGGCUAGUGGAGCUGAAGAGCCUGAAUAUUGUACUAGAGGAAAAAACAUUGCAUCCAUAUCCUCUAGUUCACAUGCUAGGCCUAAACAAGUCGAGAAGGGAAAUAUAUCUUCCUCUAUGAGAUAUGCAUCUCUAAGACUUAGAGAUGAAGAAGAAGAAGAAGAAAAAAUUGAAUUUGAAGAAUAUGAAGAUAAAGAAGAAGAAGAAUACAAUGAGGAUGAUCUUGAACUUGAUGAUUAAUUUGACUUAGUACGUUUAUUUUGAUGAACUUUGUUAGUUUAGAUUAAAAAGUUGAAAUUUGAAAGUUAAACUUUUAUUAAUUUUAUCAUUGUGUUUUUUUGCUUGUCAUAUUUGAUAUUUGUGUGUGUGGAAUAUUAAUAGUUAUCAUAUUUGACAUAUUAUAUGAGUGUGUUAGUAGUUUAGUAAUCAACCUCAUGUUCAAGAGGCACGCGCCUCGGGCGCCUCGGGCCCCUCGGGCUCUAGGAGCCCUUUGCGCCUCGGUGCGUCUCGCGCCUCUAACAACACUGGUAGCUAGUGCUUUUCUACAUGCAGAUAUUGUUUGAAGGGACAACUAGAUUCUUGGGCUUUGCCAAAAUUUAUACCUCAAUUAUGAGCCUCUUUUUUUGUUUGGAUUUGGCAUGUCUGGGCAUCUAAUGGUUGGAACUGAAUAUUUCACAUUUAGCCUGUCAGCAGACUCUAAUUUGGAUAUUUUGUUGCAAUCUGGAAACAGUCUGAUAGCCUGUCUCAUUUUCUGGACGGAAUGACCAUUGGAGUACAAUCAAUUUUGUACUUAUUUUCUACAAUAUAUAUUUUUGUUUAUAGUUAUUUUUGUGAUGUGUAGUAUUCUGACUAUAGCUUGAUUAUCUUGCAUAAAGUAAUGUUGGCAGACUUGUACGCUAGUAUGUUCACAUUUGAUAUUAGUGCACCAGAACACAUUUGCAGAGGUAUGUCGUCCUUUUUCACAAUUUUACUUUUGGAUGUAUUGCACAUGUAUAUAUAUAUUAGCUGAAAUCUAACUUUUAUUUUCUUUUCAAGGCAGAAGUAAAAUUAUUGAUCUAUUGACAAUUUUGUUCAGUUCUUUUUAUUCUGGGAACAAUUAUUUACCUGAUCUAACCAAUGAUUGCAAGUAGGUGGAACUGAUUUUUUUAGUUGCAUUUUUUCUGUCCUCUGUUAUGCUCUGUGGAAUUUUGAUAAUCCUUAGACUCUCAGUCCUCUUCUGAUUAGUUCUUGUACAUAUCUAAUAAAUUCUGGCAAUUUACAUAAAUUUAUUAAUGAAACUUAAUAAAGCCACUUGUAUUUUUUAUUCAUCAAUGUCUCUGCUUUUCUUUUUAGACAAUCUUGACAUCCGCUAUCAUUUGAUUCUCGGUUGAUUAUACUUUGUAGAAUUUUGAUCAUUAUAAGACUCUCAGUCCUUUCAGGAUUACUACUUGUAUUUAUAUAAUAUAAAUUCUGGCAAUUUACAUAAAUUGAUUAAUGAAACAAGAAUAUCAAUAAGGCCACUUUGUUUUCUCUAUACAUUGAUGUCUCUGUUUUUCCUUCUUAGAAAUUGUAACUACUAAUUGAAUAUGUUAGUUAAUUUUUCACUUUCACUAAUCUAUGAAUCAGAUUUAUGCUGUGCACCGAUGUUCAUAUAUUCUGACCACUUAUCCUUGCCACAAUCAGAAAUGGUUUUGAUUUUAAUUUUUCUUUGCAUUUUCUUUGGUUUCAUGUGACCAUUGACAAUGUUAAAAGUGUUCGUAGGUGGGAUCUCAUCAGUUUGCAGCAUAGCACAUUCUAUAUGAGGUUUGUGUCAAAAAAGGCUCCGUGUUUAUGCUUAUGAAUAGAUAAGGAAGAAAAGGAAUCAAUAGUGGUGAAAAAUAAAGAAAAAGAAAAAAAAUCCAGUUCGGAAGGUCAUGGAGGCCUUGCCCGGCCUUGAGGGCUUUCACAAGCCACAAGUCUUCUCGUGGUGGUUUCGCUUGGCUGUGCGGCCUCCACAAGGCUAGUGCCACUUCUUGGAGAGCUUGCGUCCAGGUGUGUCCGUCAUGACCUCAUGGAGAGCUCCGCCCAUGCAUCAAAAGGUUUUAGUGUCAGUCCGCGGGCACUAUAGUAAAUUCUAGCUGAGCUGACCCACACAACUUGGUAUCUUAUUCCUUGGUUAUAUCUAUAUCUUGAAAUUAAUUUCUUUAAACCAACAAUGUCAUUGUGUGCAGCUAUAAUAUUAUUGUUUCUAUAAUUCUUUUACAAUUUUUUCAUACUGCCUCGUAAUCUAAUGGUUACCAGGUUAUGCUUUUACACUGCUGGUGAUGCAUCCAUCUAGUCUGGCCUAUUCGUGCCUACAUGUCAUAAAAAUGGGUAUGUAUUAGUUCUGGAAGUUGUUAAUUCAUCUAUUUGAACUACAACCCUUUACAUAUUCAAGAAAAAGAAAAUUUAAUUAUCCUAACAAUUUGAGUCGGCUAUAUGGAUCUUAGCCCACAAUUAAGCUUUAUAAAAGUCUGCUCACUAAUAAUACUACAGUUCAGUACCAGGUUAAAGCCAUUUUAACCUGUAAGCGGCUCUGUCUGAACUUGAAUUUCUUUCAAAGUUUGUAAUUUUUUUGUCUAUAUUUAAUGAAUAUGAUUCAUAGUCUUUAUUUUGUGAAAUCUAUAUGCUUUAGGCAAUUAAAUUAUACUGUUCUCGAGUACAAGGAUUUGGUGGGAGUGGUCAGAAUCCAACAUGCCUGGAAAGAUAUCCACUAAGGAUGUUUCACCUUAUUAAACCAUCAAAUCACUAAUGACGUGUUUUCCACUUUAUUUCUUUCAAUAAUUACUAUUGAAAUCAAAUAGUCAAUGUGGAUUGGAAGUACUACUUUUAUUGAUUGAGUUGAAUUAUUUCUAUUGACUUGUAUCUACUUUUCCCUAGAUUUCUUUCUGAACUAGGUGACUUGAGCUUUUUCUUUUUUCUUCUUUUGAAAAAUGAUAUCAUAGAGUGAAUUCAUCUAUGCAUGAUGCAUUGAAUAUAUUGGAUAGCUAUGACUAUAACAAGAGCAAGACGGUCACAGCAACAAAUCAGAUCAUGAGCGUCAACUGAAACAUACUAGUGCUCCAACAACUAGCUACCACAGGGAGUGUUCGAUUACUGCAACUACGAACCAGUUACUUGAGCUUUGUUGCAUCAGUUAAAGUGGAUAUGACUGAAAUUCACUGUGGCAUUUCUGCCACUUUUUGUUUUUGAAGAAACAGCUAAUCUGCAAGAUCUCAACUUCAUUGCUGAUUUAUUUGAUACUGGGUUGAUCAGCCUUGCAAGACAUGCAUAGUAAACUAAAGCUUAUUUAUCAAUUCAUUUAAUUUAGCAAGGCACAUGCAAAAUAUAUAAAUGUAUUGUAUUCAGAAAUGCUGAUGAUCGACUUGUAUUUGAAAAGGUGUUCUUGUUGCCACUUUUGUGGUACAACUGGUUACACUGUUACUGCUCCUUGUACAAAUGUAUCUAAUGCUGGCUUUUCAGUUGACUCUCAAUGCUAUUAUUUAACUCGAAUAAAUUAAGAAAAGUUAUAGAAUUCUGGCAUAAACGAAUUUUAGAUGCUGAUCCUGGUUUAGAUACUAGUGCUGGACAUUAUAUUAAACCAAGAAAUAACUGUGGGUAUAAUAUGUUGAAUCUGCUGUAGCCCUGGAUCCUUAUAUUCUUACCUUGAACUGUUAACGGUUGCAGACGCAAGUACAGAUUAAAUUUAUUGUCAUCAUGCCAAAGCUCUCCUGGAGAUUGCACAAUGUACUAAUUGCUGGAGCAUGUUGCAGUGGUUUUAAUCAACUUUCCUACUAAUUAAAUGGGUUGUUCAUGAAUUAGAAUGGCUAGUGACUUGUACAAAAAGUGGUAAAUAUAAUGGCUGUGUAAAGGUCUGCACAAGGGCAAAGACAAUAGUAAUUCCAGGUAAAAGAUAAUAUUAUCAGCAGGAGCUGCCAAAGUUGUAGUGUAGUUUUUUCCUUGCAGUCCUUUUCCUUUUGUAACCUUAGCGCCAGAUCCCUUGGCAGAUUAAUUCUCAGGGAUGGCAUCACUGUGACUCACUUAAUUAUCUUGUGAAGUUGCAUCUUUAGAUAUAUAUUUUCGGCAGAUGGUUGUGCUGCCGCUGUUAUGGAGCCAAAUAUAGGCUCAAAUUGUCUCUCUGUUCAGCAUGUAUUCCAGCCGUCAAAUGGCCUCUUCCUGUCUGUAUACCUGCUUUUUGGUUGCCACAGGUAUUGUGGCAGAGGGCUUUAUUGUCGCAAGGGGGAGCCUCGCAUGGAUCUUGUGUUUAUCUAUUCUCUCAUCAUUCUGCUGCUGUGGAUGGACAAACAUAUGGUCUGGUAGAGGCCCACUGGGACAUAAAGACUGUUAGUUGUACAUCUCUGUCUGUCAAGGUGAUGAGGCCAUCUGAAUCUGCUGCGUUGUCCCUAUGCCGGUUAUAGCAGAGACAUGUGAUGGGCAUGUGAUCGGAGGGAUACGUGGCUGCUCAGGGAGGCCAAGCAUCUUUGCCCAUGUAUAUCUCGGCCUCAUUCAAUGUUGUAAGUUCUUUCUUGUCCCACACUAAAUUCUGCAAGCUAUACUUGUUUUUGCCGGUCAUUUUUAUUGAACCCCAACCAUCUAGUGAUGCUGAUGUCUCCUAGUGUCUCUGUUGGCUUG
This is an RNA transcript of Zingiber officinale, 8839 nucleotides long. RefSeq lists it as uncharacterized. The transcript has 3 exons. The record is from RefSeq and is a predicted model, not a curated record. Lineage: Eukaryota; Viridiplantae; Streptophyta; Magnoliopsida; Zingiberales; Zingiberaceae.